Molecule: non-coding RNA, 82 nt
Organism: Lophiotrema nucula
Lineage: Eukaryota; Fungi; Ascomycota; Dothideomycetes; Pleosporales; Lophiotremataceae
Source: the annotation of a GenBank genome assembly
UCCCCGUUGGCGCAACUGGUCAGCGCGUCUGACUGUUAUUAAGCAAAUCAGGAGGUUGAUGGUUCGAGUCCAUCACGGGGAG